Molecule: non-coding RNA, 45 nt
Filed under: Trichobilharzia regenti
Lineage: Eukaryota; Metazoa; Platyhelminthes; Trematoda; Strigeidida; Schistosomatidae
Source: RNAcentral
AUCCAGAUGACGAGUCCCAAAUAGGACGAAAUGUGCAUCUUGGUU